This 788-nucleotide ribosomal RNA is filed under the name uncultured bacterium. Its description in RNAcentral is "bacterial SSU rRNA". It matches the Rfam family "Bacterial small subunit ribosomal RNA", at positions 8 to 796 of the family's 1533-position model. The record is from RNAcentral.
AGAGUUUGAUCAUGGCUCAGGAUGAACGCUGGCGGCGUGCCUAAUACAUGCAAGUCGAGCGAGAAUCAGUGAAGCAGAGAUUCGUCAAAGCGGAUCUGAGGAAAGCGGCGGACGGGUGAGUAACGCGUAGGCAACCUGCCCUUAGCAGAGGGAUAGCCAUUGGAAACGAUGAUUAAAACCUCAUAAUGCUGUUGAGACACAUGUCUUGACAGCCAAAGAUUUAUCGGCUAAGGAUGGGCCUGCGUCUGAUUAACUAGUUGGUGAGGUAACGGCUCACCAAGGUGACGAUCAGUAGCCGACCUGAGAGGGUGAUCGGCCACAUUGGAACUGAGACACGGUCCAAACUUCUACGGAAGGCAGCAGUAAGGAAUCUUGCACAAUGGGGGAAACCCUGAUGCAGCAACGCCGCGUGAACGAUGAAGGCCUUAGGGUUGUAAAGUUCUGAUCUGUGGGAAGAAGAAGUGACGGUACCACAGGAGAAAGCCCCGGCUAAAUACGUGCCAGCAGCCGCGGUAAUACGUAUGGGGCAAGCGUUAUCCGGAAUUAUUGGGCGUAAAGAGUGCGUAGGUGGUUACCUAAGCGCAAGGUUUAAUCUUGAGGCUCAACCUCAUUCUGCCUUGCGAACUGGGCUACUUGAGUGCAGGAGGGGAAAGCGGAAUUCCCAGUGUAGCGGUGAAAUGCGUAGAUAUUGGGAAGAACACCGGUGGCGAAGGCGGCUUUCUGGACUGUAACUGACACUGAGGCACGAAAGCGUGGGGAGCAAACAGGAUUAGAUACCCUGGUAGUCC